Long non-coding RNA from Hipposideros armiger (great roundleaf bat), 767 nucleotides. RefSeq lists it as uncharacterized. The transcript is spliced from 3 exons. The record is from RefSeq and is a predicted model, not a curated record. Lineage: Eukaryota; Metazoa; Chordata; Mammalia; Chiroptera; Hipposideridae.
CCGAGGCCGCCGCUAGCGGAGCCUUUCGCCCGCACUGGCCCCGCGCAUGGGGGCGGUGGGCGCUCAGCUCCUGCGGCCGCCGCCCGGGCUCCGUGGGAAGCCGGGAGGGGCAGGACGGACCGCACUGCCUGUGGGGAAGGGAGGCUCCUCGGUCCCUCUCCUUCAGGCCCCGCGUGACCAGGUUUAGCGUGGGAGAGGCAGAAACGCAAGAAGGAUCACUAGAGGACUGGUUCAUUCUGGGAGGCGGAAAGAGAGCUGGCUUCUGUCUUCCCCGGGUGACUGCGCGCUCCUUGAGGGGUCGGAGCACUUUGUCAUCAUCUGUGUCCUGCCCCCCACCCACCCAUAACCCCACAGUGUCCAGCAUCAUGCCUGGCAUCCGAAGCAGCACUGGGUCAAUUUGGGAUUCCUGGAUUCUUCACCUGGUGGACUGACCCGAGCCUUCAUCCUUGAAGACCUGAGGCACUGGGGCUCCAUCUGUAGUUACCACUGGACACGAUGAUGUAGGAGAUACACAGUGAAGUGUACAGCUUGAUGAAUUUCUACACAUGGCUAUCCCUGUGACCACACCCAGAUGAAGAUACAGAACAUUUCCAGUUCUUUGUACCCUUCGCAGCCAAUACCCACCCCCCAGGAGUGAUCAUCACUUGUACUUCUCUGGCAUUGAUUAGUUUUGUUUGUUCCUGAACUUCCUACAAAUGGGAUCAUAUAGUAUGUACACUUCUGUGUCUAGCUUCUUUUGCUCGACAUUAUGUCUAUAAGAUUCAGCC